Molecule: ribosomal RNA, 254 nt
Filed under: uncultured bacterium
Lineage: Bacteria
Description: partial 16S ribosomal RNA
Rfam family: Bacterial small subunit ribosomal RNA
Source: RNAcentral
UACGGGGGGAGCAAGCGUUGUUCGGAUUUACUGGGCGUAAAGGGCGCGUAGGCGGUCAGCACAAGUCAGUUGUGAAAUCUCCGAGCUUAACUCGGAAAGGUCAACUGAUACUGUGCGACUAGAGUGCAGAAGGGGCAACUGGAAUUCUUGGUGUAGCGGUGAAAUGCGUAGAUAUCAAGAGGAACACCUGCGGCGAAGGCGGGUUGCUGGGCUGACACUGACGCUGAUGCGCGAAAGCGUGGGGAGCGAACCGG